Athene cunicularia (burrowing owl) is the source of this 157-nucleotide long non-coding RNA. RefSeq lists it as uncharacterized. The transcript is spliced from 4 exons. The record is from RefSeq and is a predicted model, not a curated record. Lineage: Eukaryota; Metazoa; Chordata; Aves; Strigiformes; Strigidae.
CCCUGGAGGGGUUGAAGAGUCUGGCUGACCCAGCGCUGAGGGAUCUGGUGGAGUUGGGAACGGUCAGGGUGAGGGUCAUGGUUGGACUGGAGGAGAUUCAAGUGCUUUUCCAACUCAGAUGAUUCUGCGAUUCUUGCUAAGAGUCUGUUUUGUCCUU